RNAcentral lists this ribosomal RNA (253 nucleotides) under uncultured bacterium. RNAcentral's name for it is "partial 16S ribosomal RNA". It matches the Rfam family "Bacterial small subunit ribosomal RNA", at positions 524 to 776 of the family's 1533-position model. The record is from RNAcentral.
UACGAAGGGGGCUAGCGUUGCUCGGAAUCACUGGGCGUAAAGCGCACGUAGGCGGACUCUUAAGUCGGUGGUGAAAUCCUGGAGCUCAACUCCAGAACUGCCUUUGAUACUGAAGAUCUUGAGUUCGGGAGAGGUGAGUGGAACUGCGAGUGUAGAGGUGAAAUUCGUAGAUAUUCGCAAGAACACCAGUGGCGAAGGCGGCUCACUGGCCCGAUACUGACGCUGAGGCACGAAAGCGUGGGGAGCGAACAGG